RNAcentral lists this small nuclear RNA (115 nucleotides) under Salmo salar (Atlantic salmon). RNAcentral's name for it is "U1 spliceosomal RNA". It matches the Rfam family "U1 spliceosomal RNA", at positions 50 to 166 of the family's 166-position model. From Rfam's summary of the family: U1 is a small nuclear RNA (snRNA) component of the spliceosome (involved in pre-mRNA splicing). Its 5' end forms complementary base pairs with the 5' splice junction, thus defining the 5' donor site of an intron. There are significant differences in sequence and secondary structure between metazoan and yeast U1 snRNAs, the latter being much longer (568 nucleotides as compared to 164 nucleotides in human). Lineage: Eukaryota; Metazoa; Chordata; Actinopteri; Salmoniformes; Salmonidae. The record is from Rfam by way of RNAcentral.
GGGCGAGGCUCAGCCAUUGCACUCCGGCUGUGCUGACCCCUGCGAAUUUCCCAAAUGUGGAAAUCUCGAUUGCAUAAUUUCUGGUAGUGGGGGACUGCGUUCGCGCUCUCCCCUG